RNAcentral lists this ribosomal RNA (400 nucleotides) under uncultured bacterium. RNAcentral's name for it is "bacterial SSU rRNA". It matches the Rfam family "Bacterial small subunit ribosomal RNA", at positions 355 to 751 of the family's 1533-position model. The record is from RNAcentral.
UAAGGAAUAUUGGUCAAUGGAGGCAACUCUGAACCAGCCAUGCCGCGUGGAGGAUGAAGGCGCUCUGCGUUGUAAACUUCUUUUAUAAGGGAAGAAGUCCAGGUUUUCCAACCUGGUUGACGGUACCUUAGGAAUAAGCACCGGCUAACUCCGUGCCAGCAGCCGCGGUAAUACGGAGGGUGCAAGCGUUAUCCGGAUUCACUGGGUUUAAAGGGUGCGUAGGCGGGUAAGUAAGUCAGUGGUGAAAUCCCGGAGCUUAACUCUGGAACUGCCGUUGAUACUAUUUAUCUUGAAUACUCGGGAGGUGAGCGGAAUAUGUCAUGUAGCGGUGAAAUGCUUAGAUAUGACAUAGAACACCGAUUGCGCAGGCAGCUCACUACAGGGUUUAUUGACGCUGAGG